Molecule: non-coding RNA, 84 nt
Submitted as: unclassified sequences
Source: Rfam
GAUCAGCAAUGUCGGAGCGUCAGGACAGGGCGCAUCGGAACUUCCGGCUCUAUUAAUGGGCUUGCGAAGGUUGAUUUCCCUUUC